GACGAACGCUGGCGGCACGCUUAACACAUGCAAGUCGAACGAGAGAAGAGAAGCUUGCUUUUCUGAUCUAGUGGCGGACGGGUGAGUAACACGUGAGCAAUCUGCCUUUCAGAGGGGGAUACCGAUUGGAAACGAUCGUUAAUACCGCAUAAUAUAAUUGAACCGCAUGAUUUGAUUAUCAAAGAUUUAUCGCUGAAAGAUGAGCUCGCGUCUGAUUAGCUAGUUGGUAAGGUAACGGCUUACCAAGGCGACGAUCAGUAGCCGGACUGAGAGGUUAAUCGGCCACAUUGGGACUGAGACACGGCCCAGACUCCUACGGGAGGCAGCAGUGGGGAAUAUUGCACAAUGGAGGAAACUCUGAUGCAGCGAUGCCGCGUGAGGGAAGAAGGUUUUAGGAUUGUAAACCUCUGUCU
RNAcentral lists this ribosomal RNA (413 nucleotides) under uncultured bacterium. Its description in RNAcentral is "bacterial SSU rRNA". It matches the Rfam family "Bacterial small subunit ribosomal RNA", at positions 28 to 438 of the family's 1533-position model. The record is from RNAcentral.